Molecule: ribosomal RNA, 373 nt
Filed under: uncultured organism
Description: bacterial SSU rRNA
Rfam family: Bacterial small subunit ribosomal RNA
Source: RNAcentral
CGGAGGAUCCAAGCGUUAUCCGGAAUCAUUGGGUUUAAAGGGUCCGUAGGCGGUUUUAUUAAGUCAGUGGUGAAAUCUGGUCGCUCAACGAUCAAACGGCCAUUGAUACUGAUAGACUUGAAUUAUUGGGAAGUAACGUAGAAUAUGUAGUGUAGCGGUGAAAAUGCUUAGAUAUUACAUGGAAUACCAAUUGCGAAGGCAGGUUACUACCAAUGGAUUGACGCUGAUGGACGAAAGCGUGGGGAGGCGAACAGGAUUAGAUACCCUGGUAGUCCACGCCGUAAACGAUGGAUACUAGCUGUUCGGAGCAAUCUGAGUGGCUAAGCGAAAGUGAUAAGUAUCCCACCGUGGGGAGUACGUUCGCAAGAAAUGA